UACGUAGGUGGCAAGCGUUAUCCGGAUUUACUGGGUGUAAAGGGCGCGUAGGCGGCGCGUUAAGUCUGAUGUGAAAACCCGAGGCUCAACCACGGGAGUGCAUUGGAAACUGGCGUGCUGGAGUGCCGGAGAGGUAAGCGGAAUUCCUAGUGUAGCGGUGAAAUGCGUAGAUAUAUGGAAGAACACCAGUGGCGAAAGCGGCUCUCUGGUCUGUAACUGACGCUGAGGUUCGAAAGCGUGGGUAGCAAACAGG
Molecule: ribosomal RNA, 253 nt
Filed under: uncultured bacterium
Lineage: Bacteria
Description: partial 16S ribosomal RNA
Rfam family: Bacterial small subunit ribosomal RNA
Source: RNAcentral